CCUACGGGGCUGCAGUGGGGAAUUUUGGACAAUGGGGGCAACCCUGAUCCAGCCAUGCCGCGUGCGGGAAGAAGGCCUUCGGGUUGUAAACCGCUUUUGUCAGGGAAGAAAUCUUCCGAGCUAAUACCUUGGGAGGAUGACGGUACCUGAAGAAUAAGCACCGGCUAACUACGUGCCAGCAGCCGCGGUAAUACGUAGGGUGCAAGCGUUGAUCGGAAUUCCUGGGCAGACAGCGGUGCCAGACGGGUGUGAAAUCCCCGGGCUUAACCUGGGAACGGCACUUGUGACUGUACGGCUGGAGUACGGCAGAGGGGGAUGGAAUUCCGCGUGUAGCAGUGAAAUGCGUAGAUAUGCGGAGGAACACCGAUGGCGAAGGCAGUCCCCUGGGCCUGUACUGACGCUCAUGCACGAAAGCGUGGGGAGCAAACAGGAUUAGAUACCCUUGUAGUC
Molecule: ribosomal RNA, 450 nt
Filed under: uncultured bacterium
Lineage: Bacteria
Description: partial 16S ribosomal RNA
Rfam family: Bacterial small subunit ribosomal RNA
Source: RNAcentral